This 210-nucleotide ribosomal RNA is filed under the name uncultured bacterium. RNAcentral's name for it is "partial 16S ribosomal RNA". It matches the Rfam family "Bacterial small subunit ribosomal RNA", at positions 124 to 334 of the family's 1533-position model. The record is from RNAcentral.
ACCACGCCCUUUACUCGGGGAUAGCCUUUCGAAAGAAAGAUUAAUACCCGAUAGCAUAAUGAUUCCGCAUGGUUUCAUUAUUAAAGGAUUCCGGUAAAGGAUGGGGAUGCGUUCCAUUAGGUUGUUGGUGAGGUAACGGCUCACCAAGCCUUCGAUGGAUAGGGGUUCUGAGAGGAAGGUCCCCCACAUUGGAACUGAGACACGGUCCAA